CAGCCGCGGGAAUACGUAGGUCCCGAGCGUUGUCCGGAUUUAUUGGGCGUAAAGCGAGCGCAGGCGGUUAGAUAAGUCUGAAGUUAAAGGCUGUGGCUUAACCAUAGUAUGCUUUGGAAACUGUUUAACUUGAGUGCAGAAGGGGAGAGUGGAAUUCCAUGUGUAGCGGUGAAAUGCGUAGAUAUAUGGAGGAACACCGGUGGCGAAAACGGCUCUCUGGUCUGUAACUGACGCUGAGGCUCGAAAGCGUGGGGAGCAAACAGGAUUAGAUACCCGUGUAGUCCCUGUCUCUUAUACACAU
This 301-nucleotide ribosomal RNA is filed under the name uncultured bacterium. Its description in RNAcentral is "partial 16S ribosomal RNA". It matches the Rfam family "Bacterial small subunit ribosomal RNA", at positions 512 to 816 of the family's 1533-position model. The record is from RNAcentral.